UUUACAGGUGACGACAGUCCAGCCUCAGACACUGGGACGCCACCAGAGCGGGCACAGGGGCCGGGAGCCCAGCCCUGCACCGGGAGACACCUUUCUCCCUUGUCUGUCCACGCAGGGAGAGACGCGGGAGACGACACGGCCACGGGUAACACAGGAUCCCCCACCGCCGCAGUCGUGGCGGCGGUGGCCUCCACCCUCUGCGCGCUGGGCCUCCUGCUCGGACUGGCCCUGCUCUGGAGGAGGUCCAGGAGACGCCGGGCCGCAGGGGCUGAAGCAGCACAGAGCACAGCAGGACAGGUGGACGACGUCCAGGGGGAGGGAGAGGUCCACUACGCCUCCCUGGGACACCAGGGCAAGAGGGACCCACGGCCCCGAGCCCAGGACGCGGACUCCAGCGUGGUCUACUCCUCCGUCGCCCGGCGCGGGACCGACUGAGCGAGCAGGCCGCGGUGGACCGGCGCCCUUCCGACCGUCCCAGCUUGAGUGAUGAACUGAAGAAGAGGACACUGCAGCGACGUCUCCUCACAUCCCGGGGGCGGGUGCGCUGUGAUUUGUACGGUUCGGUACUUAUUUAAUAUUUGACACCGUGAGUUUCUCAAUAACACUUGUAAGACGGCAGACUGCGCUGUCCGGACACGUGUCUUUGAUUUUACGGUCCUGCCCCGAGUCGUCAGAGUUACGCCACUGUGCGCUGUCUGCAGGCUUGCCUCGCUGCUUGGGUCUGUCAUACACACAGGUGCAGGUGCUCUCUGGGAACCCACACAGGUGAACUAAUACAGGAGCUCUCUGGGAACUAAUACAGGAGCUCUCUGGGAACGGGCACAGG
This 826-nucleotide long non-coding RNA is filed under the name Lepisosteus oculatus (spotted gar). RNAcentral describes it as "lncRNA (ENSLOCG00000021573.1)". The record is from RNAcentral. Lineage: Eukaryota; Metazoa; Chordata; Actinopteri; Semionotiformes; Lepisosteidae.